Long non-coding RNA from Falco peregrinus (peregrine falcon), 1688 nucleotides. RefSeq lists it as uncharacterized. The transcript has 5 exons. Lineage: Eukaryota; Metazoa; Chordata; Aves; Falconiformes; Falconidae. The record is from RefSeq and is a predicted model, not a curated record.
UGCGUGACACUGUUGACACUAAAGUAGAUGACAGGACUGAGAGGAGAUUUAGCAUGUGCAUGCUUAAAAAUUACUGCCUUGUGAGGCGUGCUAACGAUGCAUUUUUAAUUGCAGGAGAUGAUCUUGGCCUACAGGUACCGUCCACAAAGCAAAUCAAUUCGGUUUAUUCCCAGGAGUGUUUAGAAAUAGAUUUUUUGCAUGGAUUCAACAUUAACAAAACCAAUCCUUUGGCAAAUAGAAUAUUUCGUCAGUGACCCGGAUGAAGGGAUGGAGCAUACCCUCGGCAAGUUUGCGGAUGAAGCAAAACUGGGAGGAGUGGCUGAUACCCCAGAGGCUGCGCUGCCAUCCAGUGAGACCUGGCCAGGCUGGAGAGCUGAGCCAAGAGGAACCUCAUGAAGUCCAACAAAGGCCAGUAGGUGACUUCUGAAUGAAUCAGAGAAAAUUACAAACCUUUGUCCUGCAGUGCAAGAAAGACACAGACAAAUUGGGAAGGGAAUCAGGGCAGUCUAAAAUGAAAUACUUCCAUCAAAGUCACCCUAGUCCUUGGAAUUUAUUGGUAUGUGAGUAAGUUGAGGCUGCGGUCGGGUGUGCACGAGGCAGCCAGCUGGGGCUGCAGCAGUCGAUCCCCCCCGGGAGCUGUCACACCGAGAUGGGUGAAGAAAAAGGUCCCCCUGGGACCUCCUGCGGUGACCUCCGAAUGGAACAGGAGGACUAGCUGUCAGCCCAGAUGCCUAAAGGCUUGUUUUGCUGAAGACCUGGCUGAAGACGCACAGAAGGGCUCAGCCCCUGCAUCCCACCGCUGCGCUCACAUGCACCAAGAGCCAAGAUGAUCUCUACAUCCCCAGCCACCCAAAUGAAGCCGUGUGCUGCUCCAGCUCACAGGGGAGCACUGCCUGUGGUGCCCAGGGAGCACGGUGGGAGCUGGUUCUUGAUGGGGACCACGAGGUUGGUUGGCUGGGGGUACCCCUGAUGGGUGCGAUUGGGAGCACAUCGGUUGUUUCGUACUGAGAUUACUUCCUAUGGUUCAUUGCUUGUGGCGACUUGGAAAAACCGAACUCUGGCAGAGGUAAGCUCAAUAAAUUAGAGUCAGGACCAGCUGCAAUGUUGGGUGUUGGGUGGGUUUUUUUGUUCUUUUUUUUUUUAAAAAAAAGCAUUGCUAAAAAUGUGGGAAUUGCAGGAAAAGACAUCUAUAUAGUCAACAUUUGAGGAAUUUAUUUACCUGCACUGGUGCCCACUGCAGGGGCAGGGCAUAGCAUCCCCCUCCCUGGCUGCAGCCCCAGGGGCUCUCUCUUGCCCCUUCCCCCCUUCCCUGCAGGAUGCCCUUCAGACCUGGCCACAAUCAACCAGUUUUAUCUCAGCAAGAAAAAAAAAAAAUAGUUUGCAGGGCACGGAAACGGAAACACACAUUUCCCAGCAGCAUCCUCUGUUCAGUGGUGUGGGUGAAGCAUCAGUGGCAUCCUCUGCCCCAAACAAAAUACCUGCAGGGCAUCCCAAAGAGAGCGAGGUGAGCUUCCUGGCCAAAGGGAUAUCAGGAGGCAGGGAUUCUCUCUCCUCUGGUGAAAAGAUCAGUGGGCUCUUUCAUUUUUUUUUUUUUCUUUACAGUUUUAUUUACAAAAUGUAUUAAAACUCUUUGUACAAUACCUCAUUAAAAUGAGGCUCAGUAAUUGAUGCCCACACAUGCAGUUUAU